Molecule: non-coding RNA, 2035 nt
Organism: Oncorhynchus mykiss (rainbow trout)
Lineage: Eukaryota; Metazoa; Chordata; Actinopteri; Salmoniformes; Salmonidae
Source: RefSeq, a predicted model, not a curated record
UCAAGGGGGCCGAAUACUUUCGCAAGGCACUGUACAUAUCCUGACAUGGCUUGUCUUUGUUGUCGCUCUCCAACCAAGUUUAAGCCACAAUCUGUACUAUUUAUGGUUGGUAAGAUGACUUGUCCUUGUGUGAUAUAAAGAUGUAGGAAUUAGAGUAUGUUGAACAACUUUAUCAACCCCAAGAAUGAACAGUAUUAGGUGUUUUUGACCUAUUACUCUGAUUCAACAUCUGUUAAUAAUUUGUUAAAGUGGAAUUUCCAGCAGUGUUGAAAGUCCAGGCCUGGUUUCCGGAGACAAGCUAUGUCACCAGGAAUCCCUGGCUGGCUGUGUACUGUGGUACUCUUGAAUAUCUAUUUUCCCUCUGGAGAAAUAUGCUGUGUAGGUUUGAUGGGUAAAAAAAACACUAUUCAAUUCAUGGCCCUGUUAAAAUACUUACAUUUAUCAUUCAGCAGGGCUUGUAACAAGGAUGCAAAUUUAUAGGGAUUCACACAGGUUUCCUCUUGUCAGUAUAGUUCUUGAAGGAAAGCAGAUCAGUAGAGUGAAUUGAACUAGAUCAGAUGAUUGGGACAAAGCUAAAAAUAAAUAGUGUGAGCUGGGGGCCAUUUUCAGGCUCCUUGCAAAGCUCGAUAGCCUGCAGAGUUCUGGGCCCUUUCGGGGCUAAAAGGAGGAGGAGACUAUGGCUUAAUGUUUUUAUGCCAAGAGUGUGCCAAGCUGUCAUCAAGGCAAAGGGUGGCUACUUUGAAGAAUCUCAAAUAUAAAAUAUAUUUAGAGUUGUUUCAAAGGAUCGGGUUCCUUUUUUAAAACUUUUUCUCUUAUGUAAUAUGAUAUAUCCAAAUCUAACUGCCUGUAGCUCAGGACCUGAAGCAAGGAUAUGCAUAUUCUUAUACUUUUAUUUAGUACCAUUUGAAAGAAAAUAAUUUCUAGCUGCCAUCCAUAUGUUUCCACUGUGCUGUGAUGUUUCAAAAACCUUUAUAAUCUCAGAGUAUUAUAUGAUUGAUUGACUUUUCCAAUCACACAGCAGUGCUAUUUGCAGAGUUAGCUGCAAGUAAAUGUUGCAAUUUUUCUGCCUUUCCUGUGCCUGCGACCAAAAACAAGCUGCAUAUGGGCAUUACCACAAGUGAUCUAAUGAUUCUAUCUCUUCGAAGCACAAUGUGCAGAGCUGGGAUGGUUGUAUCCCCCAUCUAUAACAUUCUAUUAGUUGCAAGAAUUUUGUAUAAUAAUUUAAAUAGAAAAACUCAACAUUUUGAAUCUGUCAUCAUUUUGUGUAUCAGUUCAUAAACCAUGUGCCAUGGAAUUGGUACAUUGAAAAUCUCCUCCCAACUAUUUUGCAACCUUUAUGGUGCAGCUGUGAAUUUUUUGGUCCUUAAAUUAAACAGGUAUACUUUAUUAUUUAUAAAAAAAAUGUGUUUAGCCUAUUUUGCUCUUUAAUGCUGGGCCGACAAACACAUUCCUUACCUUCUCCACGUUCCACUUGCCUCCUCCGUGUUUGCGGUAAUGCUGCAAACAGUUCGUUGUCAUUUUGGAUAGAGCAGACAUUUCCACAUUUCCCUACAAACUAUGGGUAUUGAUCAUAUUCCGGCCUCUAAUAGAAAAGGGGGCCCAUCUUAAACAGUUAAACCAUGGGGAAAGUUUUGGGAUUUACAAACUACAGGCCACUAAAUACCCUGGUUUAAAUGAAGAUAUGGAUUUCUCACCCUUCCUGUAGGGUCGUGAUGGAUCCAUUUGCUGUCAUCUUGUGGACAUUUUGCUCAAUUGGCCUCAGCUAUGGUUAGACUGUUGUUGUUCAUGUUUUGCUGUGUUCUAGUGUACUAUGGAAUAUAUAGCUUUCUUAUUCUUGACACUUCUCCCAGUCAUAUUUAAGGUUAGAACUACCUUUUAGUGUUCUGAUACUUCUAGUUUGGAGUUGUAUUUUUAUGAUAACAUAGCUACAGUAUUUCACCUUUUAAUGUGUAUAGUAUUGCUUACUAGGUGUGUCCAAUCAAUUGUGUAACCACUCCCUCUUCCAAUUAGGGCUAAUUGAAAAACUUAAAAAAGA